This 2162-nucleotide long non-coding RNA is filed under the name Betta splendens (Siamese fighting fish). RNAcentral describes it as "lncRNA (ENSBSLG00000004769.1)". Lineage: Eukaryota; Metazoa; Chordata; Actinopteri; Anabantiformes; Osphronemidae. The record is from RNAcentral.
AUGCUCGUUAGCCCCCAGCCAACACAGAGAGGCCUCCCACACACAGCAGAGCACCAUCACAAGGCUGAUUUCCGCAGCCUGCUCAUUCCUGAAGUUUCUGCUGGAUUUGAGAGCUCGGCAGAAGUUCUCUGCAGACGAGCGACCCCGCGGCCACGUUCUGACCCUGCUCCUUCUUUAAGUUAUGAGUCGGCUGCUGUGAUGUGCAGCUAAGCUUCAGCGUGGGAUUACGUGGACGUGAUGGACGUUAAUACAAGGAAAUCAUUAUUUUCAAACAAAGACCUACAUGGAAGCGCUUUUUGAGCUACGGCCCUGUUUUGUCUCCAUGUCUCUCGAACACUGAUACAGAAACAGUCACGAGGCCUCUUAAUCCUAAAAGUACGAGUUGGUGAAGACACUUCAACAACUCGGCGCUGGUGGGACUCACGCCCGCGUCAUCGUCCUCUAAUCGGUAAAUGGUUAAAUAAUGAGGCUGUGCUGUGAUGCUACUCCUCCUUAUCAGCCCAAUCGGAGCCCGGCUUCCUCCUCCACCCCAGCGCUCAGCAUCCUCUCCUCCACCCUUCACACUUUUCAUGCGUUCUCACCCUCCGCCUUUUUGAAAGGUUUCUCCUCCGGCCUCCCUGGAUAUUGAUCCCCUCCCUCCCCAUCCCUCCAUCUCUCACCCCUCCUCUCUUUGUCUAUUGAUCCCUCGCUUCCUCCCCUGCCUCCCUCUCUCUCUCCCUCUCUCUCGCCCUCUCUCUCGCUCGCUGCUAUCAGCUCCGGCCUUUGUCUUCUUAUCGAGGUUUCAGGGUUUAUUCUGGCUGGCUGCUGUUAUUGACAGGCCUCUCGCUCCACGGCCAACUAAUGCAUCUCUAAUCCCACCUUUGUUACUGUGGAAUGGUUGAGUCUCACGCGCCCGCGCACACGCACGCGUGCGUCCGUACGCACACAGGUGACGCUUUGGCGCGAGGAUGUUGAUCCCAGCUUUCUGUUUGUUGGGAAAGCCAUCUAUCAAUCAGCAGCGCUGCUGUCUGUGUGUUUUUAUAUAUGCGCGUGUGUAGGUGCCGGUGUGAGCGCGGAUCUUUGAGUGACAGGCCGAAUCGUGGCUGAGGACGUUUGAUAAGCUUGUAUUGUCGGUCGUCGCCCCCCUCCCCCUCCCCCACCACCUCCACUCCCCCCUCUCCUCCCACCUCCACCUCCACCUCGAUAAGAAAUACAUUCGACUAGAGCUGAUAACGGUGUCAGGAGCAGCAAAGCCCCACUCUAAAGAGACACACACACCGGCCACGCCGCGGGAGAGGUGUCUUUCUUCAAACACCGCGGCUGUAAAUGAUACUUUCAACAAACAGCGGCGACAACACCACUCGGGGAGAAAGUGUCUGAUGUUAUGUGUGUGCGCUUGCAGGGGGAACGAUGUGCGAUAUGGCUGGAGGAUAUGCUGAGCUUAUUGAAUGAGGUUUCAGCGAUAGCAGCGAGUGUGUGUGUGAGUGUGUUGUGAACAGCGGGGAAAGAAUACAGUAAUAGGCUUAGAGCAGCGGAGGCCCAGUGUCACACUUAAACAGCACACACUCCAGCCUGACUGAGUGACAGCUGUGUGUGUGUGUGUGUGUGUGUGUGUGUGUGUGUGUGUGUGUGUGUGUGUGUGUGUGUGAGGCUCCUCGGCGUCCGUCCUGUGUCACCGUGGUGAACGUGUUGUCUCUGACUUGAUAUUAAUGGGAUUUUACAAUGAGAUCUGCGAAGAUGUGGCCUCGACACAUUUCUCACUUAAAUUAAAAAUGUCAUUUUACAGCCUGGAGACGCUCGUCGGCACGCGGCGCUGAAGGAAAGCGUGUUACAAUCAGGUUUAGCGUGAUUACUUCAGGGACAUCAUCCCUGUGUAAAGGAAUGUCAUCACUGUCGGUGGAAAUCUCACUGUCACGUUUAGAAAAAGAUCAUCUAAGAGUCAGAGGUGUUUUCUUACCUGAGCUUUAACUCAAAGUCUGUGGCUUCAAUGAUCCACAGCAUCACAGGUGCUGUUGGUGGAUCACUGCAUGUACUCAGAUCAAAGGCCAGUGUUGUGUUGUGGUCACAAAGUAGCAUGUAUGUGCUGAGUGGCUUCAUUACUGAGCUGUGACCUUAGAAUUACCUUAACAAACCACUUUCCAAGAGCCAAUAAAGCAGAUUUUGUUUUUGUUUAUUAGUAACUG